RNAcentral lists this microRNA (22 nucleotides) under Solanum tuberosum (potato). RNAcentral's name for it is "stu-miR8030-3p". The record is from miRBase by way of RNAcentral. Lineage: Eukaryota; Viridiplantae; Streptophyta; Magnoliopsida; Solanales; Solanaceae.
UUAAAACCAAAUCAACCCAAAU